UUCUCUCAAGUAUAAAAUUAAAUAAAUUAAACUAAACCCCUAUCUCUCAUUCUCAAAACCAACUGAUCAUGGCAAACAAUAACUAGCACAAAAGAAACAAGAACCAAAUUGCAACUUAAGUUUAAACUUAUUUUUGACAUUGAAUAGCAUAAGAAUAAUGAAUCAGACGAUCAAGCAACCACUAAUUCAUUUCAAGCAGAGAGUGAGAUAGAAGAGAUGGACCUUGAAACUCCGACAUACGAACUUAAACAGGGAAUGGAAAACAGCAGCGAAAAUUACUCCGCAAAUCUCGAACCUCGGACGGCAACCGGCGACGGGCUUCACUCAAUCGAACUCCACUUUUUGCAAUAUAAAUCUGGAAUUGAAAAGCAAGGAAACAGAAAUGUUUUUGGUGCCUUUUUUUUGUGAUUUUGAAACGAAAACCAAACUUGAACAAAGAGGGUUAUUAAUCUCUGAAACUAUUACUAGGAUGUAAAGUAAUUUUUAUAUAUCAAAAGCUAAAUGGAAAUCAGCUGAGAGAAGAUGAAAAUCAGACACCCUCGGAUUUGCUCUUUUUCUGCACACUGUUCAUAUGUGUGUAUGUGGUGAGGCAGAUUAGAGGGAUUCCAACGAGUGGGGUGACUGGCGGAGGCGUGGAGACGGAGUGUGCGGUUGUGGUAUUUGGAGGCGCUGCUUGGUGGUGAGGAGU
RNAcentral lists this long non-coding RNA (688 nucleotides) under Nicotiana benthamiana. RNAcentral describes it as "long non-coding RNA (NBEN_LNC017630)". Lineage: Eukaryota; Viridiplantae; Streptophyta; Magnoliopsida; Solanales; Solanaceae. The record is from RNAcentral.